Tigriopus californicus is the source of this 1244-nucleotide long non-coding RNA. RefSeq lists it as uncharacterized. NCBI's taxonomy places the organism in Eukaryota, Metazoa, Arthropoda, Copepoda, Harpacticoida, Harpacticidae. The transcript is spliced from 4 exons. The record is from RefSeq and is a predicted model, not a curated record.
CGGGUGUUCCAGUUCAGAGGAGGAAUUGAAGCCGACGCACUUCGUUGGCCUUUCUGCUUCGUCUUGUGCCAUCGAAUUAACUUAAAAGCAAACUGAAGUAGUGUGGUUACGGCAGCUCGGCCAAAAGGUGCUCCACUUUCCUAAGCCACCCACCAAGGGUGAUAUGGAAAAGUGCGGUGUGAACGCGUUGGCACACUUGGCUCUUUUUGAACUCGAAAUGAAACUGCAACUCUAAGUGCUUUUCAAUCAAGAUGGGAGAAACAUUGGGGAUUGCACACAAUGUGUUCGAAAAAAUGGAACGGGAACGAGAUCGAAAAGAGCGAAUCAAGAAGUACGAGGAGUGGCAAAAGGUCAAGGUGAAAAAGCAACAGAAGCUCAAGGUGAUGAAGGCCAAGAUCCGGGUGAACGAGGAGUUGAGACGCAACGAUGAAUCACAAUCGCAGCUCAGUGAGAUUGAGGCUGAGGCUGGCGCCAGUGGAGGGGGGACCGCUAACCGCGACCUUGACGAGGCCAACGACCUUGGGGACGACUCAGAGAACGAAAUUGGUGGCGAGUCCCCUACUUUAGAAAAUUCAUUAACCAACGAAACACCGGCGAAAAGAGGAACAACCGACUUGACCAUUGAAAACAAGUCAUCGUCGUCUUCGAAGUCGACGAAUGGAUGCUCAAAGUGCCUCAUACAAUGAUUCAAAACGUCCUAGACGACGAAACCAUGGGAAAAAAUGUUCAUCCCUUCACCUAAAAAGCUAACACCAGAUUUUCCCACUUUCCACCAAGUUGCGGCCGCCUCAAUUGAUUUACCACCAACCACACCAUCGACCUCUUGCAGUCAACAAUUGGUGUCCCCUUCACUCAGCGACUCAAGCCCCUCAAAUCAACAUGAACUUGACGCCCUAGACUGAGAGCAUCAUGCAACAUGUUGCCACUGACAAUUGAAAUGUCAUGCCCCCAAACCAUGAAGGAUUGCCUUAUCAAAUACUAACCAAGUGCAUCAACCUCAACUUCAGUUGUUGUUGUUGUUGAAGUCGGUUUCAUGGUGACGUUGGUCAUCAUCCAGCUGUUUAUGGGCGGAACCGGGCAAAUCCGAGUAUAAACCAGCAGUUUGGCGACACGCGUGACCAUCAGCCCAUGCCUGAGAAUACCUAUAGAAAUCAAACGUAGCAACGAGAUAAUGUUGUAGGAUAACCAUAUUAUACCAUGAUCUAUGUAAGGAGAAUCGAUAGUAAAGCCAUACACAAACUCCA